This 255-nucleotide ribosomal RNA is filed under the name uncultured bacterium. RNAcentral describes it as "partial 16S ribosomal RNA". It matches the Rfam family "Bacterial small subunit ribosomal RNA", at positions 524 to 776 of the family's 1533-position model. The record is from RNAcentral.
UACAGAGGUCUCAAGCGUUGUCCGGAUUUAUUGGGCGUAAAGAGCUCGUAGGCGGCUUGUCGCGUCGUCUGUGAAAUCCCCGCGGCUCAACUGCGGGCUGCAGUCGAUACGGGCAGGCUGGAGUUCGGUAGGGGAGACUGGAAUUCCUGGUGUAGCGGUGAAAUGCGUAGAGAUCGGGAAGAACACCAACGGCGAAAGCACUCUGCUGGGGCCGAAAACUGACACUGAGAGACGAAAGCUAGGGGAGCAAAUGGG